GAUGCCCACUUGUGGGUGGAUUAGUGGCGAACGGGUGAGUAACACGUGAGUAACCUGCCCUUAACUCUGGGAUAAGCCUGGGAAACUGGGUCUAAUACCGGAUAUGACUCCUCAUCGCAUGGUGGGGGGUGGAAAGCUUUAUUGUGGUUUUGGAUGGACUCGCGGCCUAUCAGCUUGUUGGUGAGGUAAUGGCUCACCAAGGCGACGACGGGUAGCCGGCCUGAGAGGGUGACCGGCCACACUGGGACUGAGACACGGCCCAGACUCCUACGGGAGGCAGCAGUGGGGAAUAUUGCACAAUGGGCGAAAGCCUGAUGCAGCGACGCCGCGUGAGGGAUGACGGCCUUCGGGUUGUAAACCUCUUUCAGUAGGGAAGAAGCGAAAGUGACGGUACCUGCARAAGAAGCGCCGGCUAACUACGUGCCAGCASCCGCGGUAAUACGUAGGGCGCAAGCGUUAUCCGGAAUUAUUGGGCGUAAAGAGCUCGUAGGCGGUUUGUCGCGUCUGCCGUGAAAGUCCGGGGCUCAACUCCGGAUCUGCGGUGGGUACGGGCAGACUAGAGUGAUGUAGGGGAGACUGGAAUUCCUGGUGUAGCGGUGAAAUGCGCAGAUAUCAGGAGGAACACCGAUGGCGAAGGCAGGUCUCUGGGCAUUAACUGACGCUGAGGAGCGAAAGCAUGGGGAGCGAACAGGAUUAGAUACCCUGGUAGUCCAUGCCGUAAACGUUGGGCACUAGGUGUGGGGGACAUUCCACGUUUUCCGCGCCGUAGCUAACGCAUUAAGUGCCCCGCCUGGGGAGUACGGCCGCAAGGCUAAAACUCAAAGGAAUUGACGGGGGCCCGCACAAGCGGCGGAGCAUGCGGAUUAAUUCGAUGCAACGCGAAGAACCUUACCAAGGCUUGACAUGAACCGGAAAUACCUGGAAACAGGUGCCCCGCUUGCGGUCGGUUUACAGGUGGUGCAUGGUUGUCGUCAGCUCGUGUCGUGAGAUGUUGGGUUAAGUCCCGCAACGAGCGCAACCCUCGUUCUAUGUUGCCAGCGCGUUAUGGCGGGGACUCAUAGGAGACUGCCGGGGUCAACUCGGAGGAAGGUGGGGACGACGUCAAAUCAUCAUGCCCCUUAUGUCUUGGGCUUCACGCAUGCUACAAUGGCCGGUACAAAGGGUUGCGAUACUGUGAGGUGGAGCUAAUCCCAAAAAGCCGGUCUCAGUUCGGAUUGGGGUCUGCAACUCGACCCCAUGAAGUCGGAGUCGCUAGUAAUCGCAGAUCAGCAACGCUGCGGUGAAUACGUUCCCGGGCCUUGUACACACCGCCCGUCAAGUCACGAAAGUUGGUAACACCCGAAGCCGGUGGCCU
This 1354-nucleotide ribosomal RNA is filed under the name Pseudarthrobacter sulfonivorans. RNAcentral describes it as "bacterial SSU rRNA". Lineage: Bacteria; Bacillati; Actinomycetota; Actinomycetes; Micrococcales; Micrococcaceae. The record is from RNAcentral.